This 730-nucleotide ribosomal RNA is filed under the name uncultured bacterium. Its description in RNAcentral is "bacterial SSU rRNA". It matches the Rfam family "Bacterial small subunit ribosomal RNA", at positions 40 to 760 of the family's 1533-position model. The record is from RNAcentral.
CGGUAGGCCUAACACAUGCAAGUCGAACGGCAGCACAGAGGAGCUUGCUCCUUGGGUGGCGAGUGGCGGACGGGUGAGGAAUACAUCGGAAUCUACUCUGUCGUGGGGGAUAACGUAGGGAAACUUACGCUAAUACCACAUACGACCUACGGGUGAAAGCAGGGGAUCUUCGGACCUUGCGCGAUUGAAUGAGCCGAUGUCGGAUUAGCUAGUUGGCGGGGUAAAGGCCCACCAAGGCGACGAUCCGUAGCUGGUCUGAGAGGAUGAUCAGCCACACUGGAACUGAGACACGGUCCAGACUCCUACGGGAGGCAGCAGUGGGGAAUAUUGGACAAUGGGCGCAAGCCUGAUCCAGCCAUACCGCGUGGGUGAAGAAGGCCUUCGGGUUGUAAAGCCCUUUUGUUGGGAAAGAAAUCCAGCCGGCUAUACCUGGUUGGGAUGACGGUACCCAGAGAAUAAGCACCGGCUAACUUCGUGCCAGCAGCCGCGGUAAUACGAAGGGUGCAAGCGUUACUCGGAAUUACUGGGCGUAAAGCGUGCGUAGGUGGUCGUUUAAGUCCGUUGUGAAAGCCCUGGGCUCAACCUGGGAACUGCAGUGGAUACUGGGCGACUAGAGUGUGGUAGAGGGUAGCGGAAUUCCUGGUGUAGCAGUGAAAUGCGUAGAGAUCAGGAGGAACAUCCAUGGCGAAGGCAGCUACCUGGACCAGCACUGACACUGAGGCACGAAAGC